GAAACCGUUCAGGGGUAAACCUGAGAAACCCAAAAGAUCGAAUGGGGAGAUUCAUCGUCAGCGAUAUUGGUACGUGUGCGGUUCGCGAUGCCCGUGACCUCGGUCACGCGGUACGCGUCCGCAUGUUUUUAUUGCCUGAUAACGUCGGCGUGCACUUCUCCCCUAGUAGGACGUCGCGACCCGUUGGGUGUCGGUCUACGGCCCGGGUGGGUGACUGUCUCGUGUGGCGCUUUACGGCGUCACUGCGGGGCAGACCCCCGGCUGCCUGACCGGCUGCCCGGCGGUACUCGCAAGGUAUCCGGCCGCAAAAAUUUGAACUGCGUCCGGCCCGUCGCAAGCGAGGCGAGUGUUUCCCGAAUGUACGGAUCUAAUGCCGUCAUCGGGCCUGGCCAGCUGUUGGUUGACGGUGUCCUGGGACUGGCUGUAACUUAAUUAUGAUACCGGUCAGCGACGCUACUGCUUUGGGUACUUUCAGGACCCGUCUUGAAACACGGACCAAGGAGUCUAACAUGUGCGCGAGUCAUUGGGAGCUAUUAAGCCUAAAGGCGCAAUGAAAGUGAAGGUCGGCCUUGCGCCGACCGAGGGAGGAUGGGCCGCUCUUCGAGUCGGUCCCGCACUCCCGGGACGUCUCGUUCUCAUUACGAGAAGAGGCGUACCCAGAGCGUACACGU
RNAcentral lists this ribosomal RNA (671 nucleotides) under Daschia brevitarsis. Its description in RNAcentral is "partial large subunit ribosomal RNA". It matches the Rfam family "Eukaryotic large subunit ribosomal RNA", at positions 401 to 809 of the family's 3401-position model. The record is from RNAcentral. Lineage: Eukaryota; Metazoa; Arthropoda; Insecta; Hymenoptera; Ichneumonidae.